CAGCAAUAAAGGAGAAAAUUAAGAAUUAUUAAUUUUAUUUCUUCGAACUUCCUGACUUAUGUGACGUAGUUUAAGUCUUUAAGCAUGCCGGGAGUGGAAAUAAUCUCAUUUUAAAUCUUAAUCGUUAAUCAUCUUAUAACGCUAUUUAAAGCGCAUAGACGACGUUUGGUGUAGCUAUUAACCAACUAAUAAUUAAGAUGGAACAGCGCUCAGCUUGAAAGUAGAAUGUACGAUUUAUAUUUUAAUAUUUUCUGAAAUGAUUAUAGUGAUACAAGUAAAUCAUAUAAAAUAUUUUUUUUAUGAUUUUUUUUUUCCGACGGAUAUUUUGAACUAACAUGUAUAACUGGUAGUGUUUUAAAAAUGCAUGUUUGUACUUUUUACCUUUUACGUCAGGCUAGUAAAUAUGUGCUGCUAGUACAUUUGUAGUGUGCAAAUACGGCCCCGCAAAUACAAUGUGUAUUGUACUUUGACACAUAGUGACUACCUGUUGAAUGCGUGGUUAAAUUCAAGUUAAUUAAAAGAUUAGCAUUUUGUAUCUUUUGAUCUUUACUCAGUGAAUUUAAGCCGUCACGGUUCACUUUUCUAGGUGUGAACAACAUUUCGUAUGAAUGAUAAACGGGGGAAUCUUAAUAUUUUCCAUGAGCUCAGUUUAAUUAAAUAUAUUAUUGACGC
This 672-nucleotide long non-coding RNA is filed under the name Mytilus galloprovincialis (Mediterranean mussel). Lineage: Eukaryota; Metazoa; Mollusca; Bivalvia; Mytilida; Mytilidae. The record is from RNAcentral.